CAGACAGAACGAAAUGCACGACGUCAGUGAAAAACGAAAACAGAUUGUGAGUCAGCAGUUUGUAAAUGCCUUUGAGGCCGAAGAAAUAGUUAAUACAUUAUCACGAAUAAUUCAGUGGAUUAGAUAGAUUAUCAUACAGAAAAAACCGCAGUAGGAUUUGAGAAAUUUACCACGCAGUAAGUGGUGACCAGAAUUGUGAAUUAAGAACAGUUUUUCUACGGUGGAACAGUUAGGGACAGAAGCUAACGAAUAAUCCGAACAACAACACUGAAAAUGUAAGUUGAUAUUGUAUACUGUGACUGUUAUAUUACUAAUAAUGAAUUUAAUAUACUACAGCUUUGAAGCUGCUAAUUUGGCAACUACAAAACGGUGUUUGUUCUGACGAUCGG
This is a long non-coding RNA of Aedes albopictus (Asian tiger mosquito), 389 nucleotides long. RefSeq lists it as uncharacterized. The record is from RefSeq and is a predicted model, not a curated record. The transcript is spliced from 3 exons. Lineage: Eukaryota; Metazoa; Arthropoda; Insecta; Diptera; Culicidae.